UUUUUUUAAUUUUGGAGUCGUUGUAAACAUUGGAAUUCACCUCUCAACACCUCACAGAGUACAAGCAAGCAUACAACACUUGUGAGAUUAAGUGUGAGGAAUCUGAGAACAAAGAAAUAAAGAGAGAGUGUGAGGACCUUUCUUUUACAACUAACCCGUUUGUUGUUUUGUAGUGACACUUCUUGGCUAAACUCAAUUGAGCCGGAUG
RNAcentral lists this long non-coding RNA (208 nucleotides) under Capsicum annuum. Its description in RNAcentral is "long non-coding RNA (CANN_LNC003555)". Lineage: Eukaryota; Viridiplantae; Streptophyta; Magnoliopsida; Solanales; Solanaceae. The record is from RNAcentral.